UACGUAGGUGACCAGCGUUGUCCGGAUUUACUGGGCGUAAAGAGCGCGCAGGCGGUCGUUCAAGUCGAGUGUGAAAUCCCUCGGCUCAACCAAGGAAGUGCAUCCGAAACUGCAGAGCUUGAGUACUUAAGAGGAUCGCGGAAUUCCCGGUGUAGAGGUGAAAUUCGUAGAUAUCGGGAGGAACACCAGUGGCGAAGGCGGCGAUCUGGGAAGAUACUGACGCUGAGGUGCGAAAGCGUGGGGAGCAAACAGG
RNAcentral lists this ribosomal RNA (253 nucleotides) under uncultured bacterium. RNAcentral describes it as "partial 16S ribosomal RNA". It matches the Rfam family "Bacterial small subunit ribosomal RNA", at positions 524 to 776 of the family's 1533-position model. The record is from RNAcentral.